This 254-nucleotide ribosomal RNA is filed under the name uncultured bacterium. Its description in RNAcentral is "partial 16S ribosomal RNA". It matches the Rfam family "Bacterial small subunit ribosomal RNA", at positions 524 to 776 of the family's 1533-position model. The record is from RNAcentral.
UACGUAGGGGGUGAGCGUUGUCCGGAUUUAUUGGGCGUAAAGAGCUCGUAGGCGGUUCGAUAAGUCGGACGUGAAAUCUCCACGCUCAACGUGGAGGGGCCGUUCGAUACUGUCGUGACUCGAGUCCGGUAGGGGAGUGUGGAAUUCCCGGUGUAGCGGUGAAAUGCGCAGAGAUCGGGAGGAACACCCGUAGCGAAGGCGGCACUCUGGGCCGGUACUGACGCUGAGGAGCGAAAGCGUGGGGAGCAAACAGG